This 312-nucleotide ribosomal RNA is filed under the name Leprolochus birabeni. Its description in RNAcentral is "partial 12S ribosomal RNA". The record is from RNAcentral. Lineage: Eukaryota; Metazoa; Arthropoda; Arachnida; Araneae; Zodariidae.
AGGUAGUAUUUUCUUAAAAAACCCAUUCAUCAUGGCGGCAUCUCAUCUAAUUAGAGGAACUUGUUUUAUAAUCGAUAAUCCACGAUAAUUUUUACUUAAUCUAGCAAUUUACAUACCGCCAUCCAAUGAACUAUUAUUUACUUUUUACUCAAAAUGAAACACAAAAGGUUAGGUCAAGGUGUAAUCUACGCUUAAGAAAAAAUGAGUUACUCUAAAUAAAAUUUAAGGAAUAUUCACUAAAAAUGCAUACAAAAAAGGAUUUAUAAGUAAUUUUUAGAUAUUAUCAUAUAAUGAAUAAGAUAAUAAAUGUGC